GACGAACGCUGGCGGCGUGCCUAAUACAUGCCAGUAGAACGCACAGUUUAUACCGUAGCUUGCUACACCAUAAACUGUGAGUUGCGAACGGGUGAGUAACGCGUAGGUAACCUGCCUGGUAGCGGGGGAUAACUAUUGGAAACGAUAGCUAAUACCGCAUAAUAUUGAUUAUUGCAUGGUAAUUGAUUGAAAGAUGCUAUUGCAUCACUACCAGAUGGACCUGCGUUGUAUUAGCUAGUAGGUGAGGUAACGGCUCACCUAGGCGACGAUACAUAGCCGACCUGAGAGGGUGAUCGGCCACACUGGGACUGAGACACGGCCCAGACUCCUACGGGAGGCAGCAGUAGGGAAUCUUCGGCAAUGGACGAAAGUCUGACCGAGCAACGCCGCGUGAGUGAAGAAGGUUUUCGGAUCGUAAAGCUCUGUUGUAAGAGAAGAACGGGUGUGAGAGUGGAAAGUUCACACUGUGACGGUAUCUUACCAGAAAGGGACGGCUAACUACGUG
RNAcentral lists this ribosomal RNA (505 nucleotides) under uncultured bacterium. RNAcentral describes it as "partial 16S ribosomal RNA". It matches the Rfam family "Bacterial small subunit ribosomal RNA", at positions 28 to 507 of the family's 1533-position model. The record is from RNAcentral.